This 459-nucleotide ribosomal RNA is filed under the name uncultured bacterium. RNAcentral's name for it is "partial 16S ribosomal RNA". It matches the Rfam family "Bacterial small subunit ribosomal RNA", at positions 338 to 795 of the family's 1533-position model. The record is from RNAcentral.
CCUACGGGAGGCAGCAGUGAGGAAUAUUGGUCAAUGGUCGGGAGACUGAACCAGCCAAGCCGCGUGCGGGAGGAAGGUACAGAGUAUCGUAAACCUCUUUUGUCAGGGAACAAAGGCGGGGACGUGUCCCCGGCUGAGUGUACCUGAAGAACAAGCAUCGGCUAACUCCGUGCCAGCAGCCGCGGUAAUACGGAGGAUGCGAGCGUUAUCCGGAUUUAUUGGGUUUAAAGGGUGCGCAGGCGGUCUGUUAAGUCAGCGGUCAAAGCCCGGGGCUCAACCCCGGCCCGCCGUUGAAACUGGCAGUCUCGAGUUGGAGAGAAGUAUGCGGAAUGCGCGGUGUAGCGGUGAAAUGCAUAGAUAGCGCGCAGAACUCCGAUUGCGAAGGCAGCAUGCCGGCUCCACACUGACGCUGAGGCACGAAAGCGUGGGUAUCGAACAGGAUUAGAUACCCGUGUAGUC